RNAcentral lists this ribosomal RNA (4202 nucleotides) under Triticum aestivum (bread wheat). RNAcentral describes it as "partial small subunit ribosomal RNA". Lineage: Eukaryota; Viridiplantae; Streptophyta; Magnoliopsida; Poales; Poaceae. The record is from RNAcentral.
CCCCACAAGGCCACCGGCGAAAGUUGCAAUGAGUCGCGCGAUCCCAAACCUCUAUGCCGAAAUAUAAAAGUGGAUUGGAAUCCAGGUUUGGGGUCCGGCCGUCCGGCGCACAAACCACACUGCUCCGAGCCCGACUAGCCCAACCAUUUACUAGUAGUAUACAAAGGAAAAAUAAACUCAGAAUAUUUCUCCUCUCUCUCUCUCCCAGGAGUCGGAGGACAGAAACCAGGAGGCGACGGAGGGGACGCAACGCGACUCCACACUCUUCCGCACGAAUCACCGCUCUCCUCUAGCUGGAGCAAUAAGGGUCACCCGGAUGACCGGGGCAGACCUGGCACCAGUAAUGGAGUUGAAGGCUGUGGCAAAUGGAGGAACACCCACUGAAGUUGUUGCUUCUGAUAAGAAGGAUAAUACCAAGAUGGAAGAGGCUGGCGAGAGCAAGGAUGUUGCAGUAGCGAAUACCAAUGCUGACCAACAGAAUAAAGCCUCAGAAAACGGCGCUAAGGGCUCAUCUGAUGAUGAUGCCAAGAUGGAGGAGGCUGAAGAUGCAAAGGAAGAUGAUGUGGGUGCUGUGAAGCAGGCAGGUACAGAGGAUGUCAAAUCAGGUGACAGUGCGGAUGCCAAGGAAGGUAAUGGCGCCAAUGCAGCAGAACAUGAGGAUUCCAAAACGGCUGCUAUUGAGGAUGUAGUUGCAAAGGAAGAUGACAACACCAAGUCAGCAGAACACAAGGACUCCAAAAUGGUUAUUGUAGAGGAUGCAGAUGCAAAGGAAGAUGACAAAGCCGCCAAGGCAGCAGAACACGAGGAUUCCAAAACGGCUGGUAUCGAGGAUGUAGUUGCAAUGGAAGAUGACAACACCAAGUCAGCAGAAUACAAGGACUCCAAAAUGGUUAUUGUAGAGGAUGCAAAUGCAAACGAAGAUGACAAAGCCAAGGCAGUAGAACACGAGGAUUCCAAAGCGGCUGGUAUUGAAUAUACAGUUGCAAAGGAAGAUGCCAACACCAAGUCAGCAGAACACAAGGACUCUAAAAUGGUUAUUGUAGAGGAUGCAGAUGCAAAGGAAGACGACAAAGCCAAGGCAGCAGAACACGAUGAUCACAGAACAGGUGGUGUGGCAGCAGAACGCAAGGAUCACAGAACAGGUGGUGUGGAGGAUGCAGAUGCAAAUGAAGACAUUAGCGCCAAGGCUGAAGAGUGCAAGGUUGGCAACAUGAAUACUGUAGAUAAUGCAGAUGUAAAGGAAGAUGAAGAUGCCAAUGAAGACAUUGGCGCCAAGGCUGAAGAGUGCAAGGUUGGCAACAUGAAUACUGUAGAUAAUGCAGAUGUAAAGGAAGAUGAAGAUGCCAAUGCAGCAGAACAUGAAGAUGCCAAAAUGGUUGAUGUGGAUGAUGCAGAUGCAAAGGAAGAUUAUGGCACCAAGGUAGCAGAACAUGAGGAUGUCAAAAUGGGUGCCGUGGAGGAUAUUGAUGCAAAGGAAGAUAACAACACCAAGGCAGCAGAACAUCAUGAUAUCAUAAUGGGUGUGGUAGAGCAUGCAGAUGUAAAAGAAGAUAACAGUUCUAAUGUAGCAGAAUGCGUGGAUGUCAAGAUGGCGGAGGCUGAGACCAAGCCAGGAGAUGCAGAGCUCGAAGACAAAGGGCACAAGGAAGAAAUGGAUGUGAACACAGAGGUCAAGAAGGGACCGAAAGAUGCAGAUCAAUGUGGUUCUGAGAUGCAUGAUGAAUUGAAUGGGCAAGGAAAGAAUGGAGCGGCUCGGCAGCAAGAAAAUAAAGCUGAAGAAAUGAGUGAUGAUGAUAGUCAAGGGGAAGUGGAAGUGGAAGAAAAGGGCUCUUCAGAUAAGAAAGAGGAAGGAGGGGAUGGUAAGGCAAACGAGAAUGAAGAAAAGCUAGAAAAAGAAAGUGCGAACAAGGAAGGAAAAGAUGGCAAGGUAACAGAAGAGGAGGUAGGCGAGGCAGAUAAGAACGUGGAAGAGAAUCAGGAGGAAACACCUAAGAACAAGAGGGCAAGGAGUUCUAGGGAUAGACGCCAAAGACAGGACAAGAAACAGCAUGGGUCCAAAUCCAGGGAAGCCAAAAGUUUACUAAACACUCCCAGCCCUUAUGGUAUUGAUCGCCCUCAACGUGAGAGGAAAAUAGUAGAGAGGUUGGUUGAAGUGAUUGAUAAGGAGCCAAACAGGAGCUUCGUAGUUGAGAAGGGUCGUGGCACUCCUUUAAAGGAUAUACCAAGUGUGGCACAGAGGUUAACGAGGAAGAAACCUGCUGAUCUUAAAUUUCUUCACAAUGUUCUUUUUGGGAGGAAAGGCAAGACUGUCGAUUUUAAAGGCCAUAUACUUCAGUUCUCUGGAUUUGUGUGGCAUGAGAGCGAUGAAAAGCAGAGAGCCAAGGCAAAGGAGAAGCUUGACAAGUGUAUGAAAGACAUGCUGGUGGAUCUCUGUUGGCUUCUUGCUAUUCCGGUUCCCAAAACAAACAUCAGAAAGGAAGAUAUCGUGGCAAAGCUGUUGGACUUCAUUGCUGAACCUCAUGCUAUGCCUGAUUCUGGCCUCUCUGAUGACCAGGGGUCAAAUUCUAGGAAACGCAAGAGAGGAGGUGGUAGUUCAAGCAAGACUUCGGAUAUCACUCCCAAGAGGUCUAAGAAGAAAUUUGCUGACGACAUAUCUCCAAGGCGAAAGCAAGCUCUGGAGUAUGAUACGGAUGAAGAUGUGAAGUCUGAUAGCGAGGAAGAUGCAGAUGAAUCUCAUGAUGAGCAGGAAGAUGGCUAUGACUCUGCCGAAGAAAAGGCAAGUAGGAAGUCCUCGGAAGUAAAAUAUUCUGCAGGUAGAAAGAAGGCUGCUGCUGGGAGCACCCAUAGGACAAGUCCGCCAAGGACAGCAAGCAAGACUGCAGGCAAAACAUCACCAUCCAAAGGUUCCAAGGAAAAGGAGAGCCCUGAUGAGAGUGCAAAGGUCUUCUCUAGGAAGAAGAAACCCAUCAUAUCAAAGCAUACUCCAAGCUCUGAAAAGGUGAUAGAAGAAAAUAAGUCAUCAGGUAAAGAGGCAAUGAAGAGCAAAGGCGAAUCAGCAGAAGGGGGUCUGCCCAGUAAGGCUGAGUUGAAGAAGACCAUUAUCGGAAUCCUUAAAAAAGUUGACUUCAACACGUCUACUUUUAGCGACAUUCUUAAGAAGCUCGAUGACCAUUACAAGAUUGAUCUGACCGCAAGAAAAGGAGCUAUCAAAAUUAUGAUUCAAGAAGAGCUGACAAAGUUAUCAGAGCAGGAAGACGAUGAUCAAGACAAAAAUGCAGAUGCCAAGAAGAAACAGUCACGGCAUCGAGCAAAGGUCACCGGCUGAUGCAUUGUGAAGCACCAUAGCAUUAGCGCCGAGUGUUGAUUAUUUUGUACUUAAUGCCUACUUCACUUUUGCCUUGGUGGGUUCUUGGGCAGUCGUAUGUUAAUUAUGGUUCCUAUGUUUUCAAACACCAAAAUCCUAGCCCUGUUUGUGUAUGUGAAAACAUAACCUGUAGGCAGCUCCGUACCGGGAGGCACUUCUAGCUAACAUUUGUAGGCAGCUCCGUACCGGUCAUAGGUUUGAAUAGAAUAUGGACAUAUUCGGAUUUCUGUGCUGCGGCAUUGGAUUACAAUGAUGGGAGCUCCAGCGGUUUGAGCAUCGCUGGGGCAGUCACGUAGGUUGCGAGGGGGGAUAUCAGAUUGAAUUCUGGACAAUGAAGCAGAUGGAAACGUGCUGCAUUACGUGAAGAAGAAAAAGUCAGAAAGAAAAUGCAUUUCUCUGAUGUGGGCCGACACAAAUGGGGGUUUAUGUUCCGACGAUUGGGAGUAAAGACUUGCAGUCCCGUGAGUAAUGUGUAUGGCACCUAUGAUUGGCCGUUCAAGAUGCUGAUGCUACUAAUGGCCUGGCCAUCUGUCAAGGUUUCAGGCAUGGACGUGAUGAAGGGAGAUCGUAUUUUGGAAAGGUGUAACCGGCGUAGAGUAAUUGAGUAAGAGCAUGGUUAAUAGUAUAGCCAGCUGCUGGCUAUAAGCCAGUGCCAUGUCAUCUACAACCCAUCUUAUAGCCAACAUGUAUAAUAGUACAUUAAAAGAGUGUACUACUUUUUUAUUAUGUGGCCCACCUUUCAUUCUCACAAAGUGCCUAGGAGCAUGUGCUAGAGCUGGCUCUUCACGAAGAGCCCGCUUACCUUCUCUCUCCUCUUUUCGUUCCUCCAACUAAGCAG